GAGUUUGAUCCUGGCUCAGAAUGUACGCUGGCGGCACGCCUAACACAUGCAAGUCGAGCGAGGUACUUGUACCUAGCGGCAGACGGGUGCGUAACAUGUGGGAAUCUGCCUUUUGGUUCGGAACAACACGGGGAAACUUGUGCUAAUACCGGAUAAGUCCUAACGGAGAAAGAUUUAUCGCCGAAAGAUGAGCCCGCACUAGAUUAGCUUGUUGGUAAGGUAAAAGCUUACCAAGGCUACGAUCUAUAGCUGAUUUGAGAGGAUGAUCAGCCACACUGGGACUGAGACACGGCCCAGACUCCUACGGGAGGCAGCAGUGGGGAAUCUUGCACAAUGGAGGAAACUCUGAUGCAGCGAUGCCGCGUGAGUGAAGAAGGCCUUUGGGUUGUAAAGCUCUUUUGUCGGGAAAGAUAAUGACUGUACCCGAAGAAUAAGGUCCGGCUAACUUCGUGCCAGCAGCCGCGGUAAUACGAAGGGACCUAGCGUAAUUCGGAAUUACUGGGCGUAAAGCGCGCGUAGGCGGUUAAGUAAGUUAAUUGUGAAAGCCCAAAGCUCAACUUUGGAAUUGCAAUUAAAACUACUUAGCUAGAGUUUAUCAGAGGAAAGCGGAAUACAUAGUGUAGAGGUGAAAUUCGUAGAUAUUAUGUAGAACACCAGUUGCGAAGGCGGCUUUCUGGGAUAACACUGACGCUGAGGUGCGAAAGUAUGGGUAGCGAAGAGGAUUAGAUACCCUCGUAGUCCAUACCGUAAACGAUGAUUGUUAGAUGUUGGAAAUUUAUUUUCAGUAUCACAGCUAACGCGUUAACAAUCGCCCUGGGGAGUACGACCGCAAGGUUAAACUCAAUGAAUUGACGGGACCGCACAGCGGUGGAGCAUGGUGGUUUAAUUCGAAGCUACGCGCAGAUCUUACACACUUGACAUGUCUGUCGCGAUUCCAGAGAUGGAUUCCUUCGGUUCGCGGACAGAAACACAGGUGCUGCAUGGCUGUCGUCAGCUCGUGUCGUGAGAAUGUUUGUUAAGUUCCCGCAACGAGCGCAACCCUACUCUAGUUGCAUCAGGUUAGCUGGGCACCUCUAUAGACUGUUCUGUGUUAGCACGAGCAGUUGAUUACGUCCAGAUCUUCUAUGCCUUACUGUUUGGCUACACGUGCUCAAUGGGCCAGGUGCACAAGUAGAAGUGCUGUACAUAACACCGCGAUAAGU
RNAcentral lists this ribosomal RNA (1202 nucleotides) under uncultured marine bacterium. Its description in RNAcentral is "partial 16S ribosomal RNA". It matches the Rfam family "Bacterial small subunit ribosomal RNA", at positions 9 to 1285 of the family's 1533-position model. The record is from RNAcentral.